AACGAACGCUAGCGGCGUGCCUAACACAUGCAAGUCGAGCGAGAAAGGGCUUCGGCCUCAGUAAAGCGGCGCACGGGUGAGUAACACGUGGGUAACGUACCCUCGGGUGGGGAAUAACGGGCCGAAAGGCUCGCUAAUACCGCAUAAGACCAAGACCUUCGCGGAGGUUGAGGCCAAAGGGGCGCAAGUCCCGCCUGAGGAUCGGCUCGCGGUCCAUUAGCUAGUUGGUAGGGUAAUGGCCUACCAAGGCGACGAUGGAUAGCUGGUCUGAGAGGACGAUCAGCCACACUGGAACUGAACCACGGUCCAGACUCCUACGGGAGGCAGCAGUGGGGAAUAUUGCGCAAUGGGCGAAAGCCUGACGCAGCAACGCCGCGUGAGUGAAGAAGGCCUUCGGGUUGUAAAGCUCUGUCAGAAGGAAAGAAUGGGUCGGAUAACCUCCGGCUUUGACGGUACCUUCGAAGGAAGCACUGGCUAACUCUGUGCCAGCAGCCGCGGUAA
This 501-nucleotide ribosomal RNA is filed under the name uncultured bacterium. Its description in RNAcentral is "partial 16S ribosomal RNA". It matches the Rfam family "Bacterial small subunit ribosomal RNA", at positions 29 to 523 of the family's 1533-position model. The record is from RNAcentral.